Molecule: ribosomal RNA, 460 nt
Filed under: uncultured bacterium
Lineage: Bacteria
Description: partial 16S ribosomal RNA
Rfam family: Bacterial small subunit ribosomal RNA
Source: RNAcentral
CCUACGGGUGGCAGCAGUGAGGAAUAUUGGUCAAUGGACGCAAGUCUGAACCAGCCAUGCCGCGUGCAGGAAGACGGCCCUAUGAGUUGUAAACUGCUUUUGUACGAGGGUAAACGCAGACACGCGUACCUGUUUGUAUGUAUUGUACGAAUAAGGAUCGGCUAACUCCGUGCCAGCAGCCGCGGUAAUACGGAGGAUUCAAGCGUUAUCCGGAUUUAUUGGGUUUAAAGGGUGCGUAGGCGGUUGGUUAAGUUAGAGGUGAAAUUCUGCGGCUCAACUUCGGAAUUGCCUUUGAUACUGGUCGGCUAGAGAGUAGUUGCGGUAGGCGGAAUGUGUGGUGUAGCGGUGAAAUGCUUAGAUAUCAUACAGAACACCGAUUGCGAAGGCAGCUUACCAAGCUACUUCUGACAUUGAGGCACGAAAGCGUGGGGAGCAAACAGGAUUAGAUACCCUUGUAGUC